Molecule: long non-coding RNA, 1116 nt
Filed under: Struthio camelus australis
Lineage: Eukaryota; Metazoa; Chordata; Aves; Struthioniformes; Struthionidae
Description: lncRNA (ENSSCUG00000000113.1)
Source: RNAcentral
AUGGGGACCCAGGUGUCCAGGUCAAUGGGGACCCAGGUGUCCGGGGUCUCCCACCCGCAGGUGGGCAACAACUUUGGCAGCCCGGACACCCGCCUCUACCUGAGCCAGUUCGCGUCGCAGCCCAGCACCGAGUUCGUCAAGGUCCUCGACAGCUUCGAGAAGCUCAAGGGCCUCUUCAAGGAGCUGCAGGCCAAGAUCUACGACAUCGAAGGUGGGCGCCGACCCCGGCAACGGCACCCCCAGCCCGGGGCGGGAGGGGAGGGGUUGCACCCAAAUAGCUGGGGUGACCCCCCCUCCCAGGGAGAUGCCACCCAAAGAUCGGGGUGCUGCAAGGUGAUUGCACCCCGAUCUUGGGGUCACCUGCAGGGGGAUUGCACCCAAAUUUGGGGGCAUCACCCCAUGCAAUUGUACUCAGAUUUAGGGGGUGUCAGCCCGUGCAAUUGCACCCACAUUUUGGGGGAGCCAUCCCAUGCAAUUGCAUUCAAAUUUGGAGGGGGGGGUCACCCCAUGCAAUUGCACCCAAAUUUUGGGGGGGUCACCCCAUGCAAUCGCACUCAAAUUUGGGGGGGGUCACUCCGUGCAAUUGCACCCGCAUUUGGGGGCAUCACCCCAUGCAAUUGCACCCGAAUUUGGGGGGAUCAUCCCAUACAAUUGCACCCACAUUUUGGAAGAUCACCCCAUGCAAUUGCACCCAAAUUUGGGGAGGUCACCCCAUGCAAUUGCACCCACAUUUGGGGGGAUCAUCCCAUGCAAUUGCAGCCACAUUUUGGGGGCAUCACCCCAUGCAAUCGCACCCAAAUUUGGAGAGGUCACUCCGUGCAAUUGCACCCGAAUUUGGGGGAGUCACCCCCCCAUGCAAUCGCACCCAAAUUUGGGGAGUCACCCCAUGCAAUUGCACCCACAUUUUGGAGGAGUCACCCUCAUGCAAUUGCACCCAAAUUUGGGGCAUCACCCCAUGCAAUGCCGGCCGAAUUUGGGGGUGAUCAUCCCAUGCAAUUGCAGCCACAUUUUGGGGGCAUCACCCCAUGCAAUCGCACCCAAAUUUGGAGAGGUCACUCCGUGCAAUUGCACCCGAAUUUGGGGGCAUCACCCCAUGCAAUGGCACUCAAAUUUUGG